GAUGAACGCUGGCGGCGUGCCUAAUACAUGCAAGUCGAGCGAACAGACGAGGAGCUUGCUCCUCUGACGUUAGCGGCGGACGGGUGAGUAACACGUGGAUAACCUACCUAUAAGACUGGGAUAACUUCGGGAAACCGGAGCUAAUACCGGAUAAUAUAUUGAACCGCAUGGUUCAAUAGUGAAAGACGGUUUUGCUGUCACUUAUAGAUGGAUCCGCGCCGCAUUAGCUAGUUGGGAAGGUAACGGCUUACCAAGGCGACGAUGCGUAGCCGACCUGAGAGGGUGAUCGGCCACACUGGCACUGAGACACGGCCCAGACUCCUACGGGAGGCAGCAGUAGGGAAUCUUCCGCAAUGGGCGAAAGCCUGACGGAGCAACGCCGCGUGAGUGAUGAAGGUCUUCGGAUCGUAAAACUCUGUUAUUAGGGAAGAACAAAUGUGUAAGUAACUAUGCACGUCUUGACGGUACCUAAUCAGAAAGCCACGGCUAACUACGUG
This 497-nucleotide ribosomal RNA is filed under the name uncultured bacterium. RNAcentral describes it as "partial 16S ribosomal RNA". It matches the Rfam family "Bacterial small subunit ribosomal RNA", at positions 28 to 507 of the family's 1533-position model. The record is from RNAcentral.